RNAcentral lists this ribosomal RNA (497 nucleotides) under uncultured bacterium. RNAcentral describes it as "partial 16S ribosomal RNA". It matches the Rfam family "Bacterial small subunit ribosomal RNA", at positions 28 to 507 of the family's 1533-position model. The record is from RNAcentral.
GAUGAACGCUGGCGGCGUGCCUAAUACAUGCAAGUCGAACGGACGGACGCGAAGCUUGCUGCGCUCACGUUAGGGGCAGACGGGAGAGUAACACGUGGAUAACCUACCUAUAAGACUGGGAAAACUACGGGACACCGGAGAUAAUACCGGAUAAUAUUUUGCACCGCGUUGGGCGAAGGUGAAAGACGGUGGUUCGGGCACUUAUCGCUGCAUCCGCGCUGCAUUGGCUAGUUGGUAAGGUAACGGCUUACCAAGGCUAGGAUGCGUAGCCGAGCUGAGAGGGUGAUCGGCCACACUGGAACUGAGACACGGUCCAGACGCCUACGGGAGGCAGCAGUAGGGAAUCGUCCGCAAUGGGCGAAAGCCUGACGGAGCAACGCCGCGUGAGUGAUGAAGGUCUUCGGAUCGUAAAACUCUGUUAUUAGGGAAGAACAUAUGUGUAAGUAACUGUGCACAUCUUGACGGUACCUAAUCAGAAAGCCACGGCUAACUACGUG